RNAcentral lists this ribosomal RNA (396 nucleotides) under uncultured bacterium. RNAcentral's name for it is "partial 16S ribosomal RNA". It matches the Rfam family "Bacterial small subunit ribosomal RNA", at positions 523 to 918 of the family's 1533-position model. The record is from RNAcentral.
AUACGUAGGGAGCGAGCGUUGUCCGGAAUUACUGGGUGUAAAGGGAGCGUAGGCGGGAGUGCAAGUCAGAUGUGAAAUACAUGGGCUCAACCCAUGGGCUGCAUUUGAAACUGCAUUUCUUGAGUGAAGUAGAGGUAAGCGGAAUUCCUGGUGUAGCGGUGAAAUGCGUAGAUAUCAGGAGGAACACCGGUGGCGAAGGCGGCCUACUGGGCUUUUACUGACGCUGAGGCUCGAAAGCGUGGGGAGCAAACAGGAUUAGAUACCCUGGUAGUCCACGCUGUAAACGAUGAUUACUAGGUGUGGGGGGACUGACCCCUUCCGUGCCGCAGUUAACACAAUAAGUAAUCCACCUGGGGAGUACGGCCGCAAGGUUGAAACUCAAAUGAAUUGACGGGG